RNAcentral lists this ribosomal RNA (417 nucleotides) under uncultured archaeon. Its description in RNAcentral is "bacterial SSU rRNA". It matches the Rfam family "Archaeal small subunit ribosomal RNA", at positions 455 to 871 of the family's 1478-position model. The record is from RNAcentral.
GUGUCAGCCGCCGCGGUAAUACCAGCACCCCGAGUGGUCGGGACGAUUAUUGGGCCUAAAGCAUCCGUAGCCGGUCAUGCAAGUCUUCCGUUAAAUCCAGCCGCUCAACGGUUGGGCUGCGGAGGAUACUACGUGGCUAGGAGGCGGGAGAGGCAAGCGGUACUCAGUGGGUAGGGGUAAAAUCCUUUGAUCCAUUGAAGACCACCAGUGGCGAAGGCGGCUUGCCAGAACGCGCUCGACGGUGAGGGAUGAAAGCUGGGGGAGCAAACCGGAUUAGAUACCCGGGUAGUCCCAGCUGUAAACGAUGCAGACUCGGUGAUGGGAUGGCCUCGAGCUAUCCCAGUGCCGCAGGGAAGCCGUUAAGUCUGCCGCCUGGGGAGUACGGUCGCAAGACCGAAACUUAAAGGAAAUUGGCGG